RNAcentral lists this long non-coding RNA (1580 nucleotides) under Canis lupus familiaris (dog). Its description in RNAcentral is "lncRNA (ENSCAFG00845008223.1)". Lineage: Eukaryota; Metazoa; Chordata; Mammalia; Carnivora; Canidae. The record is from RNAcentral.
UUUUUUUUCCCCCAGAGAGCAGCUUGCCUAAGGUGUUCACGUAUCCACCCAACUGAAAUUUAAUCAUUAAUGUAGCACAUUGCCAGAGAGAUGAAAGGCAACAAACUGGCAUAAGUUAGUUACAUCUCAGGAGAAAAACCAACAUAACAAAGUCCUGUCAGAGUAAGAGAUAGGAACUCAAGGACAACAUGGAUUUUGUUUUGCACCAAAGAAAGGUUUCUACUGACCAACUUACACUUAUUUAUUCGUUUUCUCAUUUUCUUUACCAGCACUACCACCAAUAUGACUGAUGACAUAAAUUUUUAAAGUAAAGGAUGAUAAAAAUGGUGAAGUCUGACAUAACUGCUAGAAGGAGGAUAAGGACUAUUUUGCAAGGCUGUUCUAAUAUUUUGUGUUUUAAAUAUAUAGGAAAAUAAUGUUACUGUCAACAUGAAUACAAAGGCUUGCAGGAGACAAUUUGAAGGCACUAGUGAAGGUGCUAGAUCAUCAAAAGCAGAGUCACAAGUUCAAAUACCUACAAGGCCACACAGGUAAUGUAAGUAAUGGAACUGGUCUAACAUAAAAACAUAGGGAGUGGUCCUACAUCGGAAAGCACCUGCUCUGCUUGGAAAUGCAGCCCUACUCUACACCAUCAGGUCACUGCUGUGAGGGAAUUGAAGAAUGUAGUGCCAGAUCUGAUUUUUCAAGAGAAUCUGAAAAUCUGGAUUCUUAUGUUAAUUCUUUAAAUUUUUAUCAAACUGAAAAGGACAAAAGAAAAUCAAAUAUAAGCCAUCUUGAGCUCAAAAGUUGCUAUGUGUGAUCUCUGUUCUAGAAAGAAAAAAAUAAGGAAAAUAUUGCUCUGAAAUUCAGCUUGUAUUAACAAAAAUAUAACAAAGCUCUAGAAACACCAAUAUUUUUCAUCAUUAGCUCUGGGUUGUGAUGCAAUUUAGCUUACCCUUUUGUUUAAUGUUGAAGAAAAAAUACACAGAAUUACCCUGGGCAGGCAUUGUUUGUCAACGGAGGGGACCCAAAGGUCACCGGGACCUGGGGUCAACUUGGAUAUUGGUCUCGAUGCCUGAACCACUGGAGCAAAACCAGGCAUUAUAAAUUAGAAACUCUUCAGAAAAGGCCCUUGUUUAAUUUCCUAAUCUUGGUGCACAUAGCCUUAAGAGGGAGAGGAAUGUGAUUUUAAUCUCUUUUUCCUAUGUAAAUGUCACUCAAAUGUAUCAGCAUAUUUGAAGAGUAUGCUUAUGUUACUUCCAGUCCCUCUAUGACCUGAAAUGUCAACACAUAGUCAAUAGCUCAUUUCCUGUUGAUCUUUUAGAACUAAUUUUUUUUAAUGAAACCAAUUUUUUUUAAUUGAAGUAUGGUCAACAAACACUAAGAUUCAUUUUUUAAACUCUCCUGCUCCCUAUUAAUACAAACACUGCUGUAGGCUCUGCAUACACCUUUCAGGCAAUUGGAUGUCUUCCAGGAUCACCCACUCACCUCCCAUCAGCAUGACCUGGUUGUUUCUCAGUCUUCAAAAUGGAUGCAAGCUGGGACUAAGCUCUACUUAACAGAGAUCCUCCCUUAUCCUCCAGAGUUUACUUUCUUUAGUC